UGGAGCUUGAUGAGAAUGGUUACAGCAGAAGGCAGUCCUAUGUUUCUCCACAUCUCAUUUAGUAUAUGAUCUCCCAUAGUCAUAAUGAUUUUGUUUUACCUUAAUGUUUUGGCACUUCUAACAGAGAGUGUUUUUGCGAAUGCAAUAACACCCCUCUUUACUGAAAAGCAUGCUUUUGAAGGAGAAAAGGCGACUCUUUCAUGCAACUACAGUGGAAGUAACAUACAGGUUUUACAGUGGUACAGACAGUAUCCCAACACUGCCCCCGAAUUUCUCUUGCAAGCUUUUGAAAGUUUGGGUCCAGAGCAGAAGGACCGUCAUGUUGCUAAAGCUCAAAAGGACAAAAAACAUCUGAACCUGGAGAUCUCCGAAACCAAAGUGGCAGAUGCUGCAAUAUACUACUGUGCACUGGUGCCCACAGUAACAGGAAACCCUUCAACACUGUACUAAAACCUGAGAUGAGGAGGAAAGAAAGAAAGAAAGAAAGAAAGAAAGAAAGAAA
This is a non-coding RNA of Cyprinus carpio (common carp), 502 nucleotides long. Lineage: Eukaryota; Metazoa; Chordata; Actinopteri; Cypriniformes; Cyprinidae. The record is from the annotation of a RefSeq genome assembly.